CCUACGGGGGGCUGCAGUGGGGAAUCUUGGACAAUGGGGGCAACCCUGAUCCAGCAAUGCCGCGUGUGGGAAGAAGGCCUUCGGGUUGUAAACCACUUUUGGCAGGGAAGAAAUGUCGAGUAUUAAUACCAUUCGGCGAUGACGGUACCUGCAGAAUAAGCACCGGCUAACUACGUGCCAGCAGCCGCGGUAAUACGUAGGGUGCUAGCGGUAAUCGGAACGACUGGGCGCGAUUCGUGCGCACGGGGUUGAAAUUCCCGGGCUCAACCUGGGAACUGCAUUUGUGACUGUUCGACUAGAGUGCGGCAGAGGGGAGUGGAAUUCCGCGUGUAGCAGUGAAAUGCGUAGAUAUGCGGAGGAACACCGAUGGCGAAGGCAACUCCCUGGGCCUGCACUGACGCUCAUGCACGAAAGCGUGGGGAGCAAACAGGAUUAGAUACCCCAGUAGUC
RNAcentral lists this ribosomal RNA (450 nucleotides) under uncultured bacterium. RNAcentral's name for it is "partial 16S ribosomal RNA". It matches the Rfam family "Bacterial small subunit ribosomal RNA", at positions 338 to 795 of the family's 1533-position model. The record is from RNAcentral.